Molecule: transfer RNA, 71 nt
Filed under: Candidatus Taylorbacteria bacterium RIFCSPHIGHO2_02_FULL_43_55
Lineage: Bacteria; Candidatus Tayloriibacteriota
Also listed under: 4 other names
Description: tRNA-Pro
Rfam family: tRNA
About the family: Transfer RNA (tRNA) molecules are approximately 80 nucleotides in length. Their secondary structure includes four short double-helical elements and three loops (D, anti-codon, and T loops).
Source: RNAcentral
CGGGCUGUAGUAUAGUGGUAGUAUAUAUGAUUUGGGAUCAUACGGUCUGGGUUCGAUUCCCAGCAGCCCGA